CUGGCGGCCGUGCCUAACACAUGCAAGUCGAACGGAGUGGCAGAGACAGAUUCCUUCGGGAUGAAGAUUCUGUUUACUUAGUGGCGGACGGGUGAGUAACGCGUGAGCAACCUGCCUUACAGAGGGGGACAACAUUGGGAAACCGAUGCUAAUACCGCAUAACACAUGUACGGAUCGCAUGGUCUGUACAUCAAAGCUUUAUGUGCUGAAAGAUGGCCUCGCGUCUGAUUAGCUAGUUGGUGAGGUAACGGCUCACCAAGGCGACGAUCAGUAGCCGGUCUGAGAGGAUGAACGGCCACAUUGGGACUGAGAUACGGCCCAGACUCCUACGGGAGGCAGCAGUGGGGAAUAUUGGGCAAUGGGGGAAACCCUGACCCAGCAACGCCGCGUGAAGGAAGAAGGCCUUCGGGUUGUAAACUUCUUUUACCAGGGACGAAGAACGUGACGGUACCUGGAGAAAAAGCAACGGCUAACUACGUG
RNAcentral lists this ribosomal RNA (480 nucleotides) under uncultured bacterium. RNAcentral's name for it is "bacterial SSU rRNA". It matches the Rfam family "Bacterial small subunit ribosomal RNA", at positions 36 to 507 of the family's 1533-position model. The record is from RNAcentral.